RNAcentral lists this ribosomal RNA (1485 nucleotides) under uncultured prokaryote. RNAcentral describes it as "partial 16S ribosomal RNA". It matches the Rfam family "Bacterial small subunit ribosomal RNA". The record is from RNAcentral.
UGGUUUGAUCCUGGCUCAGAUUGAACGCUGGCGGCAUGCUUAAUACAUGCAAGUCGAACGGUAACAGGUUCUUCGGAAUGCUGACGAGUGGCGCACGGGUGAGUAACGCUUAUGCAACCUACCUUUAACUGGAGGAUAGCCCCGAGAAAUCGGGAUUAAUACUUCAUAAUAAUAUAAAACGACAUCGUUUAAUAUUUAAAGCUCCGGCGGUUAAAGAUGGGCAUGCGUGACAUUAGAUAGUUGGUGAGGUAACGGCUCACCAAGUCAGCGAUGUCUAGGGGUUCUGAGAGGAUUAUCCCCCACACUGGUACUGAGACACGGACCAGACUCCUACGGGAGGCAGCAGUAAGGAAUAUUGGUCAAUGGACGCAAGUCUGAACCAGCCAUGCCGCGUGCAGGAUGACAGCCCUAUGGGUCGUAAACUGCUUUUAUAAAAGAAGAAACCUUUCUACGUGUAUCAGACUGAACGUACUUAAAGAAUAAGCACCGGCUAACUCCGUGCCAGCAGCCGCGGUAAUACGGAGGGUUCAAGCGUUAUCCGGAUUUAUUGGGUUUAAAGGGUCCGCAGGCGGGGUCUGUAAGUCAGUGGUGAAAGCCUUCAGCUUAACUGGAGAAUUGCCAUUGAUACUGCUGACCUUGAGUUCGGUUGAAGUGGGCGGAAUAUGUAGUGUAGCGGUGAAAUGCAUAGAUAUUACAUAGAACACCCGAUAGCGAAGGCAGCUUACUAAUCUAUAACUGACGCUGAUGCACGAAAGCGUGGGUAGCGAACAGGAUUAGAUACCCUGGUAGUCCACGCCGUAAACGAUGUUCACUCGUUGUUGGCAAUACACAGUCAGCGACUAAGCGAAAGUGAUAAGUAAUCCACCUGGGGAGUACGAUCGCAAGGUUGAAACUCAAAGGAAUUGACGGGGGCCCGCACAAGCGGAGGAGCAUGUGGUUUAAUUCGAUGAUACGCGAGGAACCUUACCUGGGCUUAAAUGUAUAUAGACAGUCAAAGAGAUUUGAUUUUCUUCCGGAACUAAUUACAAGGUGCUGCAUGGUUGUCGUCAGCUCGUGCCGUGAGGUGUCGGGUUAAGUCCCAUAACGAGCGCAACCCAUAAUUCUAGUUGAAAUCAGGUUAUGAUGGGGAAUCUAGAGGAACUGAAUACGAAAGUAGUGAGGAAGGUGGGGAUGACGUCAAAUCAGCACGGCCCUUAUGUCCAGGGCUACACACGUGUUACAAUGGUCGAUACAAUGGGCAGCUACCUGGUGACAGGAUGCUAAUCUCCAAAGUCGAUCUCAGUUCGGAUCGAAGUCUGCAACUCGACUUCGUGAAGUUGGAUUCGCUAGUAAUCGUAGAUCAGCAAUGCUACGGUGAAUACGUUCCCGGGCCUUGUACACACCGCCCGUCAAACCAUGGAAGUUGGGGGUGCUUGAAGUACGUUACCGUAAGGAGCGUCCUAGGGUAAAACCGGUAACUGGGGUUAAGUCGUAACAAGGUAGCCG